Hydra vulgaris (swiftwater hydra) is the source of this 982-nucleotide non-coding RNA. The record is from RefSeq and is a predicted model, not a curated record. Lineage: Eukaryota; Metazoa; Cnidaria; Hydrozoa; Anthoathecata; Hydridae.
UGUUUAUUUAUGUAUGCAUUGAAGCAAGGUUUAGCGUUUAUUUACAUAUCUACAAAACAGUACGCCUAUAUGUGCGCACUGUUUUGUAUUUCACUCAACAAUCACGUAACUAUGUCUAAUGUUUAUGUUAAUCGUUCAUAAACUAUGCUAUUAUCAAGCAUGGUGUAUAUUUGAAGAUUAUAUAAUAAAACGAGAGUUAAUGGUAGAAAAACAGUCUGCAAUAUUCACAUUGUGACAAGAAAAAUAUUCUACGAGUCAAAUAGCAUAAAAAUUCAAGAUAUCGAGUUCGAGAGUUUGGAAUGUUAUUAAAUAGAAGAAAGAAACUAGCAGUGUUGUUAAUCAAAACAAUCGGGACUUUUUUGAACCAUAUUUGCCGCCAAAGAUAGAACAAGUAAAAGAAAUAGAUUUUAACUGUUACAGAAUUACCCAAUAUUUUGAAUUAUUACCAAGGAGCUCCGCUAAAUGUGACAAGGAUGAAGAGGCGAGAUAUUAACAAAACUUAGUGAGAUAUUAACAAAACUUUUACGAGAAACCAAAAAAUACAUACCUAAGUUCAAUAAAGUGCAGCCGUGGCGCAGUGGUUAGAGCGUAAAGUAAAGUAAACUUUUAAAUUAUUUUGGGUUACAAUUGUUGUUUAUUGAGAUAACUGGUAUAGCAACGGUUGCUAAGUGGCAAUUUCGGAAGUACUUUUUGUAAUUUGAACUAAUUUAAUAAAACGAAUAUAUUUAGCCUGAUGACUAGUAUAACCAGUCAUAGAAUAAUUUGUUUUUUUUAUUCAUUAUUUACUUCAUUUGCAUUUUUUGAAAAAUUGAAAAAUUUACUUUUGUGCUCAUAGUUUGCUAAAAUUUUAAAGAUGUUGUUGACAAAACGCAUUGAAAUUUUUACAAGUAGUUAAGAAUGGGUAUGGCUACAAUGAACCUCAAUCAAACAUUAAAAUCUAGUAGAUUUUUUUUUUGAAUAAUUUUAGGGCAAAAAAUGUGAA